CAGGAACCGGCUUGAGCAGAUUGGUGCAGCUGGUUUAAAUCCGUAGAUGUACCUUGGUUCCUUCCUUGAAAAACAUCCUAAAGUCACUAGAAUCCAUGAAAACGACAUGAUCGCCACACAGACUGUUCGAUUAUUCCCGUGGCAGUCCAGUAUCGAGGCACGCGCAACAUUGCGCCGUUUCGUACAGUCUAAGGUCCAUUUUUAGUGAAACAGGCUAUAGAUAUAAUAUUAUCCAGCGCGUUUCGGUGCCUACUUUUCAGAUCUCGUUGCUAGUUCACUAUGGAGCACCCCACUAUUCUGGUCUUUCUACUGCUACUGGGAGCGGCCAACACGAGAGCCGAAACUUGUUUGGAAACCAGCGUUCCAUUGAAGGCAAUGUGCGGAGUAGCAUUGGCGUCUGCACUGUUCUCGCUCUGGUCAGUAGCCACCCUUAUUCGUAUGUUUCGAAUUGAAAAGGUGCUGGAGGCGUACAUCAACCAUUGCAGCCUAGAUAAUAAGAGUCCAUUGGCCUAAGCUGACAUUGGAGAGAAGCUUGCUAAGGAAUUUUUCUUUUGACGUUUGCGAAAGUUUUAGAGCAGAUGUUUUCCGCUCUGAGCGAGGUGAUGUUUGGAGUAGCACGAAGACAAUUUCUUCGAAGUUUUUACUGCAAAAAACGUUUCUGCACUCCAUAGAAUAGGCACCUUAGGUUGUUAUGAUUACCUUACAUUAUGUGAACGUCCCUAAUAUGCCCUUUCUCUUGAUUCUUUUUUCCAAUUGCAGUAGAAUACACGCCGUGAGUAGCAUGCCUCAUCAUUGGUUCCUCUAUUACAACGACGCUAUACACAUCGCAAAUGAUAGUAAAUAUCUUAUUUCUUGUUAAAAAUUUGUAUUGUUUACAAUUUUGUCGUUAAGCCAUUUUCUAAAUAGCGCGAAAACCACAGCACACUGUAGCAUCUCUUUUCGGAUCCUGACAAUAUUGAAGGUGUUUCAUUAAUCAUUGUAUCCCUCUAACGGAGACAAGCUGUGAAAAAUGGUUUUGUUGGGAUU
Long non-coding RNA from Sycon ciliatum, 1026 nucleotides. RefSeq lists it as uncharacterized. The transcript is spliced from 2 exons. The record is from RefSeq and is a predicted model, not a curated record. NCBI's taxonomy places the organism in Eukaryota, Metazoa, Porifera, Calcarea, Leucosolenida, Sycettidae.